RNAcentral lists this ribosomal RNA (373 nucleotides) under uncultured bacterium. RNAcentral's name for it is "bacterial SSU rRNA". It matches the Rfam family "Bacterial small subunit ribosomal RNA", at positions 527 to 898 of the family's 1533-position model. The record is from RNAcentral.
GUAGGGGGCUAGCGUUGUCCGGAUUCAUUGGGCGUAAAGCGCGUGUAGGCGGCCAGAUAGGUCUGCUGUGAAAACUCGAGGCUCAACCUCGAGCCGUCGGCGGAAACCAUCUGGCUAGAGUCCGGAAGAGGAGAGUGGAAUUCCCGGUGUAGCGGUGAAAUGCGCAGAUAUCGGGAAGAACACCUGUGGCGAAGGCGGCUCUCUGGGACGGUACUGACGCUGAGACGCGAAAGCGUGGGGAGCAAACAGGAUUAGAUACCCUGGUAGUCCACGCCGUAAACGAUGGGUGCUAGGUGUGGGGAGUGUCGACUCUCUCCGUGCCGAAGCUAACGCAUUAAGCACCCCGCCUGGGGAGUACGGCCGCAAGGCUAAA